This 28-nucleotide non-coding RNA is filed under the name Mus musculus (house mouse). The record is from RNAcentral. Lineage: Eukaryota; Metazoa; Chordata; Mammalia; Rodentia; Muridae.
UGCUGAAAUCAUAGGCAUGGGUCACAAU